CCUGCCCACUGAAAUAUUUUAAAUGGCCGCAGUAAUUUGACUGUGCAAAGGUAGCAUAAUCAUUAGUUUUUUAAUUAAAAGCUUGUAUGAAGGGUUGGACGAGAUAAAAUCUGUCUUUAUUUAAAUAAUAUUAGAAUUUAAUUUUUAAGUUAAAAAGCUUAAAUUUAUGUAAAAGACGAGAAGACCCUAUAGAUCUUUAUAUUAUUAUAAUUUAAUUUUAAUUAAGAAUAUUUAAUUUUUUAUUUUAUAUAAUAUUUUAUUGGGGUAAUAAAAAGAUUUAAUUAAUUCUUUUUGAUAUUUUACAUUGAUUAAUGAAUUUAUGAUCCAUAUAUUAUGAUUAUAAGAUUAAGUUACCUUAGGGAUAACAGCGUAAUUUUUUUAGAGAGUUCAUAUCGAUAAAAAAGUUUGCGACCUCGAUGUUGGAUUAAAAAUUGUUUUAGGCGCAGAAGUUUAAAAAUUUGGUCUGUUCGACCAUUAAAUUUUUACAUGAUCUGAGUUCAGACCGGUGUAAGCCAGGUCGGUUUCUAUCUUUAUAUAUUUUAUAAUAUUUUAGUACGAAAGGACCAAAUAUUUAAUAUAUUAAUAUUUAUAUUUUUGAAUAUUAUU
Molecule: ribosomal RNA, 606 nt
Filed under: Papuadytes sp. MB670
Lineage: Eukaryota; Metazoa; Arthropoda; Insecta; Coleoptera; Dytiscidae
Description: partial 16S ribosomal RNA
Rfam family: Bacterial large subunit ribosomal RNA
Source: RNAcentral